This is a long non-coding RNA of Pomacea canaliculata, 525 nucleotides long. RefSeq lists it as uncharacterized. Lineage: Eukaryota; Metazoa; Mollusca; Gastropoda; Architaenioglossa; Ampullariidae. The record is from RefSeq and is a predicted model, not a curated record. The transcript has 3 exons.
CUUGAGGACCAACAGCCUGCACCGACUGGCCAGCAAGAAAGGACUGAGGACUGACUGACCGGAGAAGCAUCCACAUAAUCAGAGGUGGUCUUGACCAGGUCUUUCAUUACGAAGUGAGAUAACUGUCAUCAAAAUGAAGAGUUUCUACCUGUUGCUGGCCUUGUGCCUGGUGAUGGCUUUUGUUGCUAAGGACGCCGACGCGGCCAGCCUGGCGCUUGCCAGCAAGGAGGACGCCGAGCUGGAAAAGAGGAUCUGGCCGGCUUUGAUUGGACUUGCUGCACGGGGCGCAUAUCACUGGUGGAGAAACAGACAGGGUAAAAAAUAAAGACAAGAAAUGACAAGAGAUAUUUCAAAUGAUCCACAGCAGGAGGCAGGUCACGUGGGGCACCGCUGCUGACUGGCAUCUCGUCAUUUCACCUUUGACCUCUCACAGUUGUCGAAGUCGUCAUUCUGAUAUUUUUCCCUCCCGGCCAAUCCGAGGUUUCUCUUCCCCACGUUUUGAGAAAAUAAAAUAUGGAAAUUUUA